AUCCUCUGCACUCAGCGUCGAAGCUACUCAAACAAACGUUCAAACAGUUUGAGGUUAACAGAAGGUCACACUAUAGGUCAAUAGUUAUAAAGAUGAGAUACAUAUUCAUUAUCUUGUUGGGAUUGAUUUGGAUGACGACGAGCAUUAUGGGUACGAGCAUAGAAAAUUCUCCUCCUAUACAUAUUCAUGACCAUAUUGUGAUGGCUCCUCAGCGUUGUCCUGAUGGGCAUAUUCGAAUAGGUGGAAGGUGUCGAAAGCUUUACUAAUAUUCGUCAAUCAUAAAACAAACAAAAAGAUAAGAAAUUCCUCUAUUUUCUUCGUUUGAAAAAUAAAAAUAAAAAACUGAAAAGAAAAAUGAAAAUAAAAUUUUACA
Long non-coding RNA from Eufriesea mexicana, 373 nucleotides. RefSeq lists it as uncharacterized. Lineage: Eukaryota; Metazoa; Arthropoda; Insecta; Hymenoptera; Apidae. The transcript has 3 exons. The record is from RefSeq and is a predicted model, not a curated record.